Molecule: long non-coding RNA, 846 nt
Filed under: Carica papaya (papaya)
Lineage: Eukaryota; Viridiplantae; Streptophyta; Magnoliopsida; Brassicales; Caricaceae
Description: long non-coding RNA (CPAP_LNC011671)
Source: RNAcentral
GUCAAAUCCCUCCGCUUCGCUUGAAAAGAAGUUAGAAGAUCUCAUAAAGCGGGAGGGAGAGCGAGUGCGCGAGAGAGAAGAGAGACAGAGAAAUCGGAUCAUAGCCGUUGAUCUGGUUUUGGCACGUCGAAUCUCAGCCAUCCGUAUCAUCAUCAACGGCGUGUUGCUCCCUUCGCGGCUGAUGCCGUUCUAUUCUUGAUCUCCGGUGAGUUUUCUGAUCAAUUUGGCAUCUGAAUCCGCGUUGCUUUGCUUAUUUUCUGCUUGCUUCCUGGAUGAAAUUGGAAAUUUAAAAAAAGAAAAGGAAGAAAGGAAUUUGAAUCGAUUGAAUUUGAUCGUGUAAAACGGUUAUAGACGUCUUCUGUUUUGAUCUGAUCUUAUUGUUUAAUAGUGAGUUAAUGUCUACAGAGGUCGGAUAAUGAUUGAAUUGCAAUAAGUUCGUCGGAGAAGAUAACCAAUUCUUGCGAUUUUUCUGUUUGUUUUUCUUUCCUUUGGUUGCUUUUGCUGUUCCUGUCGACGUCGCUGUUUUUUGAUAAUGAUGAUGAUCUGCCGGUUUUCAGAGUAUGGAGGGGCAAAGAGUGCGAGGAGAAUUCAUUUGAACUGUGCCUGACCAAUGUGGUUUUGUUAAUUUGUGAGAAGAAACUAACCGAUAAUGCGAGAAUCUAAUCUGAAAUUGAAUAUUAUAUACAUACAUGCAUAUAUUAUGUGUUUGUGUGUCUAUAUAUAUAUAUAUAAAACAUACACCCAUAUGCGCGCGCGCGCGCGCAUGGGUAUAUUUAUAUGCAUAUUAUGCUAAUCUUGGACGCUAUAUCCAAGUUCGUUGGUGAUUCAUCUGAAAAUUUCUUUUUG